AGUGAACGCUGGCGGUAGGCCUAACACAUGCAAGUCGAACGGCAGCACAGUAAGAGCUUGCUCUUACGGGUGGCGAGUGGCGGACGGGUGAGGAAUACAUCGGAAUCUACUUUUUCGUGGGGGAUGACGUAGGGAAACUUACGCUAAUACCGCAUACGACCUACGGGUGAAAGCAGGGGAUCUUCGGACCUUGCGCGAUUGAAUGAGCCGAUGUCGGAUUAGCUAGUUGGCGGGGUAAAGGCCCACCAAGGCGACGAUCCGUAGCUGGUCUGAGAGGAUGAUCAGCCACACUGGAACUGAGACACGGUCCAGACUCCUACGGGAGGCAGCAGUGGGGAAUAUUGGACAAAGGGCGCAAGCCUGAUCCAGCCAUACCGCGUGGGUGAAGAAGGCCUUCGGGUUGUAAAGCCCUUUUGUUGGGAAAGAAAAGCAGCAGGUUAAUACCCCGCUGUUCUGACGGUACCCAAAGAAUAGGCACCGGCUAACUUCGUG
RNAcentral lists this ribosomal RNA (492 nucleotides) under uncultured bacterium. RNAcentral's name for it is "partial 16S ribosomal RNA". It matches the Rfam family "Bacterial small subunit ribosomal RNA", at positions 29 to 507 of the family's 1533-position model. The record is from RNAcentral.